RNAcentral lists this long non-coding RNA (1524 nucleotides) under Marmota monax (woodchuck). The record is from RNAcentral. Lineage: Eukaryota; Metazoa; Chordata; Mammalia; Rodentia; Sciuridae.
GUUAAAGUGAAAGAUAAAGAAAAAGCAAAACAUGCCGUAGUUGAAUCAAAAAACAAGGAGCUUCCUAGGUCAAAGGGUUCAGAACUGGUUGAUGCUUAUACCAAAGAGAAACAGUCUAAGGACACUGUAACUAAUAGAUCACAGUCUGUUGACAUAAAAAAAUGUAAUUACUUUAGGGAAUUCAUCUUUUGUUUCAGACAGUAGUUUAAAUAGGUCUCUUAGAUCAGAAAGUGAAAAGCCCGGUUUCAGCUCCAGAUCUGUAUCCAUGAUUUCUGUUGCUAAUUCAGAAGAUUCCUGCCAUACUACCAUGACAACUCCAAAGCCUCUGGUUGAAUAUAACUCUGACUUUAUGUUAUAGGGUUCCAAGUCCCAAAUAUCAUUUUCCCAGUCACCAUUUUUGCCAAUUGCCAAAUCUCCAGGCCUUCACUAAAGGGAGUUGGACAGCCUUGCUGAACUGCCAGAAUGGAUUAAACCACAAUAUGCUAAUAGAUUUGCAGCAUCCCAUCUCAGGUCAUUGUCUGUAGAACAUGUUAAACUAGUUAUAAAUGAGGGGAGACCUUUUGUAGAAGUUCAAAGAUAUAGCAUGCCAUCGGUCAUUUGUGAACAUACAAAACAAUUCCAAACAGUAUCAGAAGAAAGCAGUUAUGGUUACUGAGUGGAAAUUGAAGUGAUUGGAGGAAGCGGUUCAUUGAGGGCAUGGCAAUGGAGUAUAUAUUUUGUAUCUGGAGAGUGGAGUUUUUCUCUCUCUCUGCUUUCUGAUCACCUGGUGUGCUGCUUUCCUCUUCCACUCUGCUGUCAUGUUGUUCCUGCCUUCUCUGAAGCCCAGAGGAAUGGAGCUGGCUGCCUAUGGCUUAUAAUCUCUGAAAUCGUGAUCCCUCAAAUAAACUUUCCUCACCUAAAAUUGUUCUGGUCAGACCCUUUAGUCAUAGCAGUGAAAAAGCUGACUAAAAUGGAAAUUAUCCCUUGUUGUUGUAACUCCACAUUCACAUUGUUCAAUUUGAACCAUCAUGGCAAGUGCUCAUUUUGGCCAAAUGUUAUAGUUUAGAAAUGAGGUGUCUCUAAAAAUCUGAAUAUGAAAAAAUACAAGAAAGUUUAGAGGUAAAAUUAUUGGGUAUGGCACUCUUAAUCAGUGCAUUAAUUCCCUGAUAGAAAUUAACUGGGUUGUAAGUUCAGACUGGUAUGGUGUGGAUGGAUGAGGUAGGUCAUCUGGAAAAUGAUUUGAAAGCACAUGUGUUUGUUGCUGGUGAGCCAGGAUUAGUCUCUCUGCUUCCUGAUAACUCUACUGUGAUGUUCUGCCUUACCUUGGGCACAGCAAUGGAUUUGGCCAUCUAUGAACUGAGACCUAUAAAACUCUAUCAAACAAAUAAACUUUUCCUCCUGCAAAAUUUUUCUCGUCAGGUCUUUUGGUCACAGAAGUGAAAAAAUUGACUACAACACUGAAUAUGUGCAAUAUGAAAAUAGCUUAUAGGAGCAACCAUACUUAUAGGUGAAACCAUACUAAAUUACAAGGAGGUUCCAAUGGAG